Molecule: ribosomal RNA, 481 nt
Filed under: uncultured bacterium
Lineage: Bacteria
Description: partial 16S ribosomal RNA
Rfam family: Bacterial small subunit ribosomal RNA
Source: RNAcentral
GAUGAACGCUGGCGGCGUGCUUAACACAUGCAAGUCGAACGAAGCACUUUAUUUGAUUUCCUUCGGGACUGAUUAUUUUGUGACUGAGUGGCGGACGGGUGAGUAACGCGUGGGUAACCUGCCUUGUACAGGGGGAUAACAGUUGGAAACGGCUGCUAAUACCGCAUAAGCGCACAGCAUCGCAUGAUGCAGUGUGAAAAACUCCGGUGGUAUAAGAUGGACCCGCGUUGGAUUAGCUAGUUGGUGAGGUAACGGCCCACCAAGGCGACGAUCCAUAGCCGACCUGAGAGGGUGACCGGCCACAUUGGGACUGAGACACGGCCCAAACUCCUACGGGAGGCAGCAGUGGGGAAUAUUGCACAAUGGGCGAAAGCCUGAUGCAGCGACGCCGCGUGAGCGAAGAAGUAUUUCAGUAUGUAAAGCUCUAUCAGCAGGGAAGAUAAUGACGGUACCUGACUAAGAAGCACCGGCUAAAUACGUG